RNAcentral lists this ribosomal RNA (376 nucleotides) under Enterobacter sp. CAR55. RNAcentral describes it as "bacterial SSU rRNA". It matches the Rfam family "Bacterial small subunit ribosomal RNA", at positions 968 to 1344 of the family's 1533-position model. The record is from RNAcentral. Lineage: Bacteria; Pseudomonadati; Pseudomonadota; Gammaproteobacteria; Enterobacterales; Enterobacteriaceae.
ACCUUACCUGGUCUUGACAUCCACAGAACUUGCCAGAGAUGGCUUGGUGCCUUCGGGAACUGUGAGACAGGUGCUGCAUGGCUGUCGUCAGCUCGUGUUGUGAAAUGUUGGGUUAAGUCCCGCAACGAGCGCAACCCUUAUCCUUUGUUGCCAGCGGUCCGGCCGGGAACUCAAAGGAGACUGCCAGUGAUAAACUGGAGGAAGGUGGGGAUGACGUCAAGUCAUCAUGGCCCUUACGACCAGGGCUACACACGUGCUACAAUGGCGCAUACAAAGAGAAGCGACCUCGCGAGAGCAAGCGGACCUCAUAAAGUGCGUCGUAGUCCGGAUUGGAGUCUGCAACUCGACUCCAUGAAGUCGGAAUCGCUAGUAAUCG